UAGGGAAUUUUUCACAAUGAGCGAAAGCUUGAUGGAGCAAUGCCGCGUGAACGAUGAAGGUCUUUAAGAUUGUAAAGUUCUUUUAUUUGGGAAGAAUGACUUUAGCAGGUAAUGGCUAGAGUUUGACUGUACCAUUUUGAAUAAGUGACGACUAACUAUGUGCCAGCAGUCGCGGUAAUACAUAGGUCGCAAGCGUUAUCCGGAUUUAUUGGGCGUAAAGCAAGCGCAGGCGGAUUGAAAAGUCUGGUGUUAAAGGCAGCUGCUUAACAGUUGUAUGCAUUGGAAACUAUUAAUCUAGAGUGUGGUAGGGAGUUUUGGAAUUUCAUGUGGAGCGGUGAAAUGCGUAGAUAUAUGAAGGAACACCAGUGGCGAAGGCGAAAACUUAGGCCAUUACCGACGCUUAGGCUUGAAAGUGUGGGGAGCAAAUAGGAUUAGAUACCCUAGUAGUCCACACCGUAAACGAUAGAUACUAGCUGUCGGGGCGAUCCCCUCGGUAGUGAAGUUAACACAUUAAGUAUCUCGCCUGGGUAGUACAUUCGCAAGAAUG
This 547-nucleotide ribosomal RNA is filed under the name uncultured bacterium. RNAcentral describes it as "bacterial SSU rRNA". It matches the Rfam family "Bacterial small subunit ribosomal RNA", at positions 355 to 896 of the family's 1533-position model. The record is from RNAcentral.